UUUAAGGCAAAGAAUGAGUAUAUGGUAUUUUAUAUAUGAAACUUGGGCAACAUUUCCCCUCGAUUUUACAUAGUAAACGGGAGGGAAGAUUAUUUAUUUUUAAUGUUAAAAAAAGGAAUAUACAAUUUUAAAUAUAAAUAAAACACAAAAUUGUAGUUGUUGGGAAUAAAGAAUUUGUCCAUGCAAAACUUUUCCCAUCGGUUUUCCUCACAACCAAAAAAAAAACAGGUGAUAAAUUUUUUAAUUAAAAAUUAAAAUUAAAUUAAG
This 267-nucleotide long non-coding RNA is filed under the name Lathyrus oleraceus (garden pea). Its description in RNAcentral is "Pisum sativum (pea) long non-coding RNA (PSAT_LNC037262)". Lineage: Eukaryota; Viridiplantae; Streptophyta; Magnoliopsida; Fabales; Fabaceae. The record is from RNAcentral.